AGCUGGCGGCGUGCUUACACAUGCAAGUCUAGCGAGAACCAGGGCUUCGGCCCUGGGGAUACCGGCGAACGGGUGAGUAACACGUGGAUAACCUGCCCUCGGCACCGGGAUAGCCCGAGGAAACUCGGAUUAAUACCGGAUAGCCUUUCCGACUCUCGGGUCGGUUCGAAAAGGUAGCUUCGGCCUCUGGCCGGGGAUGGGUCCGCGGCGGAUUAGCUUGUUGGUGGGGUAAUGGCCUACCAAGGCUCCGAUCCGUAGCUGGUCUGAGAGGACGAUCAGCCACACUGGGACUGAGACACGGCCCAGACUCCUACGGGAGGCAGCAGUGGGGAAUCUUGCGCAAUGGACGAAAGUCUGACGCAGCGACGCCGCGUGCGGGAGGAAGCUCUUCGGGGUGUAAACCGCUGUUGCCCGGAACGAAACGCCAGAUUCGUCUGGCUUGACGGUACCGGGUGAGGAAGCGCCGGCUAACUCUGUGCCAGCAGCCGCGGUAAUACAGAGGGCGCGAGCGUUGUCCGGAAUCACUGGGCGUAAAGGGCGCGUAGGUGGCCACUAUAAGGCCGCGGUGAAAGUUCGGGGGCUCAACCCUGAAUCUGCCGCGGCGACUGUUAGGGCUUAGGGUCACCGUAAAAGCAGAU
Molecule: ribosomal RNA, 638 nt
Filed under: uncultured bacterium
Lineage: Bacteria
Description: bacterial SSU rRNA
Rfam family: Bacterial small subunit ribosomal RNA
Source: RNAcentral